This 63-nucleotide transfer RNA is filed under the name Haliotis tuberculata (green ormer). Its description in RNAcentral is "tRNA-Cys". Lineage: Eukaryota; Metazoa; Mollusca; Gastropoda; Lepetellida; Haliotidae. RNAcentral also lists the same sequence under 1 other name. The record is from RNAcentral.
UGUGGUUGAAUUACAACGUCAAAUUGCAAAUUUGAAGGUGUGCAUAAAAUAGCUCUAGAGCUU